RNAcentral lists this ribosomal RNA (648 nucleotides) under Glutamicibacter arilaitensis. Its description in RNAcentral is "bacterial SSU rRNA". It matches the Rfam family "Bacterial small subunit ribosomal RNA", at positions 396 to 1055 of the family's 1533-position model. The record is from RNAcentral. Lineage: Bacteria; Bacillati; Actinomycetota; Actinomycetes; Micrococcales; Micrococcaceae.
GCCGCGUGAGGGAUGACGGCCUUCGGGUUGUAAACCUCUUUCAGUAGGGAAGAAGCGAAAGUGACGGUACCUGCAGAAGAAGCGCCGGCUAACUACGUGCCAGCAGCCGCGGUAAUACGUAGGGCGCAAGCGUUAUCCGGAUUUAUUGGGCGUAAAGAGCUCGUAGGCGGUUUGUCGCGUCUGCCGUGAAAGUCCGAGGCUCAACCUCGGAUCUGCGGUGGGUACGGGCAGACUAGAGUGAUGUAGGGGAGACUGGAAUUCCUGGUGUAGCGGUGAAAUGCGCAGAUAUCAGGAGGAACACCGAUGGCGAAGGCAGGUCUCUGGGCAUUUACUGACGCUGAGGAGCGAAAGCAUGGGGAGCGAACAGGAUUAGAUACCCUGGUAGUCCAUGCCGUAAACGUUGGGCACUAGGUGUGGGGGACAUUCCACGUUUUCCGCGCCGUAUCUAACGCAUUAAGUGCCCCGCCUGGGGAGUACGGCCGCAAGGCUAAAACUCAAAGGAAUUGACGGGGGCCCGCACAAGCGGCGGAGCAUGCGGAUUAAUUCGAUGCAACGCGAAGAACCUUACCAAGGCUUGACAUGUGCCAGACCGCUUCAGAGAUGGAGUUUCCCUUCGGGGCUGGUUCACAGGUGGUGCAUGGUUGUCGU